Molecule: non-coding RNA, 1145 nt
Organism: Arvicanthis niloticus (Nile rat)
Lineage: Eukaryota; Metazoa; Chordata; Mammalia; Rodentia; Muridae
Source: RefSeq, a predicted model, not a curated record
GACUCCCAACUACAAGGGCCUGCCUGGACUCCAUAACGUCCACUCCGGGACCACAUUUGACUGUCUUCAUCUUGUGUGGAGAGCACCCAUCGUCCGCCUUCUGCACGCAGCUGUAGCACUCCAGGGCUUGUGCUCCUGCGGGGGCCCUCCGACUCUACCUUCGUGGCAACACACCCACCUUCACACAGCAGGAGCGGCAGCAGCAGCAGCCAUCUGGUGGUCCACAUCCCUGGCUGUGCACCUCCUCUCCCGGCAGCAUCCAUUGCUCUGUCCUGCUCUCUCCGCGUCCCCCCUGGGUGUGCCACCUUCCAACCCAGGCCCUCUUACCUGAGCCUCAGAUGAGUAACCUACCCCGGGGCAACCCUGGCCUUGCCCAACCAGGCUAACUCAGCGUCCGCUGUGGGGCGGGCCUGCCUCUAGGAACAAACAAGACCAUUACACCAAUCACGCUGCGCCUCCACAAGCCCAUAUUCUGUUACUAUGUCUUUGGCUCUGGCUGUCUCCUAGGCAGGAUGUUGUGGCAUGCUACAGACCUGUAAUCCCUGCGCUCAGAAGGCUGAAGCAAGCGGAUUGCACGUUCAAGGCCAGUCUUGGCUACAAAAUGGUGGACCUUCGAGAUAGAGGGUAAAAGCCUGAGUUUGGCCCCCAGACCCACAUUGUGGGAGAGAACACAUUGUCCUCUGACCUCCACACGUGUCCAAAUGUACACACAAUAAUAAACAGAAUACACUUUGUGAAAAAGAGGGCGAAUAUACCAGUUUUUUUAAUAAGCAGCCUGUUCAGAGGGGCAGAGCACAGUAGACAUUCCUCAGAGGGGGAAACUGAGUCCUAGAGAGGAAGCUACCAUCCUCCACAGGCCAGCGGAGAGGCGGCCAGAUUGGUGACUGUGGCAAGAAAGAGCAGCUGUGCUCAGAGAGAUCUCUACUGCCCAGCCCCUGCCCAGCACCCCUGUUCCCAACAAUGACAAGCACCUCAGUCACCUAGGUGGGGUCACCUGUCAUCCAGGGAAGACUCAGAGAGAGAAAGUGAGCGAUUCUCCUUAUGUCAUUCAAAACUGGCACCAGCUGUGCUGCCUCCACCUCAGGAUCCCAGCCCUACAUCUUUGCUGUGUGACCCUCAAUUAAUGUUCUUCCCUCUCUGAGACU